This 755-nucleotide ribosomal RNA is filed under the name uncultured Glomeromycotina. Its description in RNAcentral is "SSU rRNA". It matches the Rfam family "Eukaryotic small subunit ribosomal RNA", at positions 337 to 1094 of the family's 1831-position model. Lineage: Eukaryota; Fungi; Glomeromycota. The record is from RNAcentral.
GAGCCUACCAUGGUGGUAACGGGUAACGGGGUGUUAGGGCACGACACCGGAGAGGGAGCCUGAGAAACGGCUACCACAUCCAAGGAUGGCAGCAGGCGCGCAAAUUACCCAAUCCCGACACGGGGAGGUAGUGACAAUAAAUAACAAUACGGGGUUCUUUAGGAUCUCGUAAUUGGAAUGAGUACAAUUUAAAUCUCUUAACGAGGAACAAUUGGAGGGCAAGUCUGGUGCCAGCAGCCGCGGUAAUUCCAGCUCCAAUAGCGUAUAUUAAAGUUGUUGCAGUUAAAAAGCUCGUAGUUGAAUUUCGAGACCGGCUUACUGGUCGUGCUAUUGUGCGUACUGGUAUAAUCGGUUUCUCCUUUCUGACGAACUAUAAUGCCAUUAAUUUGGUGUUGCGGGGAAUUUGGACUGUUACUUUGAAAAAAUUAGAGUGUUUAAAGCAAGCUAACGCUUGAAUGCAUUAGCAUGAAAUAAUGAAAUAGGACGUUCGAUCCUAUUUUGUUGGUUUCUGGGAUUGACGUAAUGAUUAAUAGGGAUAGUUGGGGGCAUUAGUAUUCAAUUGUCAGAGGUGAAAUUCUUGGAUUUAUUGAAGACUAACUACUGCGAAAGCAUUUGCCAAGGAUGUUUUCAUUAAUCAAGAACGAAAGUUAGGGGAUCGAAGACGAUCAGAUACCGUCGUAGUCUUAACCAUAAACUAUGCCGACUAGGGAUCGGAUGAUGUUGAUUUUUUAAUGACUCAUUCGGCACCUUACGGG